This is a non-coding RNA of Podarcis lilfordi (Lilford's wall lizard), 69 nucleotides long. The record is from the annotation of a GenBank genome assembly. Lineage: Eukaryota; Metazoa; Chordata; Lepidosauria; Squamata; Lacertidae.
GGAUAGCUGAGUCAGUAGAGCAUGAGACUCUUCAUCUCGAGGUUGUGGGUUCAAGCACCACCUUGAGCA